RNAcentral lists this transfer-messenger RNA (444 nucleotides) under Candidatus Omnitrophota. RNAcentral describes it as "JACQCF01 sp015233165 Standard tmRNA". It matches the Rfam family "transfer-messenger RNA". Rfam says of the family: Bacterial tmRNA, also known as 10Sa RNA or SsrA, is named for its dual tRNA and mRNA-like properties. Its role is to liberate the mRNA from a stalled ribosome. Lineage: Bacteria; Pseudomonadati. The record is from RNAcentral. RNAcentral also lists the same sequence under 1 other name.
GGGGGUGAUUGGUUUCGACUUGCAUUGCUCAGAUUUAGGUCGCGUGUCGGGGAAGCUUGGUUGGCCUCGUCAAAAAUCCAAGUACAAAUUAAAUGCUAACGAUCAAACGUUACGUUUCAGCGAUUUCGAACGCGCUGUAGCAAUGACACCUGUUGCCCCUAUGGGUACAGUUGUCGCUCCAGUUGCAUUCGGAAUGGCUGUCUAAGCCUUAGUUACACAGUAACUAAGCCGUUCUACCUGUCAUGUCUGCGGGCGGGAUAGAAUGACACUAGCAGGCUGGUCCCGCCAAAUGUUCUCGGUGGCGGGAUGAGAUCUUAGAGGGCUGGUUCUGUCAGACUUUUGUUGGUAUAGGAUGGCGGAAUGAGAUUAAAAUAUCAACUACACACGUAGAUGCUUAAGUUUCGACCUUCAAGGACCCGGGUUCAAUUCCCGGCACCUCCACCA